This 73-nucleotide transfer RNA is filed under the name Sus scrofa (pig). It matches the Rfam family "tRNA". From Rfam's summary of the family: Transfer RNA (tRNA) molecules are approximately 80 nucleotides in length. Their secondary structure includes four short double-helical elements and three loops (D, anti-codon, and T loops). Further hydrogen bonds mediate the characteristic L-shaped molecular structure. tRNAs have two regions of fundamental functional importance: the anti-codon, which is responsible for specific mRNA codon recognition, and the 3' end, to which the tRNAs corresponding amino acid is attached (by aminoacyl-tRNA synthetases). tRNAs cope with the degeneracy of the genetic code in two manners: having more than one tRNA (with a specific anti-codon) for a particular amino acid; and 'wobble' base-pairing, i.e. permitting non-standard base-pairing at the 3rd anti-codon position. Lineage: Eukaryota; Metazoa; Chordata; Mammalia; Artiodactyla; Suidae. The record is from Rfam by way of RNAcentral.
CCUCUGGUGGCCUAGUGGUUAAGGAUCCAGCAUUGUCACUGCUGUGGCAUAGGUUCGAUUCCUGGCCUGGGAA